RNAcentral lists this transfer RNA (88 nucleotides) under Bacteroidaceae bacterium. RNAcentral describes it as "tRNA-Ser". It matches the Rfam family "tRNA". From Rfam's summary of the family: Transfer RNA (tRNA) molecules are approximately 80 nucleotides in length. Their secondary structure includes four short double-helical elements and three loops (D, anti-codon, and T loops). The record is from RNAcentral. Lineage: Bacteria; Pseudomonadati; Bacteroidota; Bacteroidia; Bacteroidales; Bacteroidaceae.
GGAGAGAUGCUCGAGUGGCUGAAGAGGCACGCCUGGAAAGCGUGUAUGCGUCAAAAGCGCAUCGGGGGUUCGAAUCCCCCUCUCUCCG